GAAAGGCAACUGAAGUCUGAAUGUGGUCCUGUGGGAUGAAACCUUGGAGCCCUUCAGGCUGCUUGAAGUUUGUUCAUUGAUCUAACUGGAGACUUCUACUUAUGUGUUUUCAGAAGAAUGAGUUCUUCAGCAAGCUUGUAGAAGUGAAGCAGCCAAUACACUUCAGCAAGACAGAGGAGAAUGUCUUUUCUUCACCCCUCAGGGAAAAGGCUGGUGUUCAUCUGGAUCUCACCCUGCUGUGGGCGGCUGGGCUGUGCAUAGAUGAUGUCCUCUACAACAGCAGAUGAUGCCCAUUUGAAUUUUGCUUAGUCUACAUGCUUGAAAGUCAUUUGACAAUAUCAACUUGAGAUUUCAAUAUUGGAUAUUAAAAACACAAACAAAGCAUAACAGUGUUUUAUAUUGUAGGAAACUCUAUCUGAUCAAUAAUGUAUCCCUUCUUAAUUAUUCAAUGUUAUUUAGUGAAAAUUUUAUGCCUACUGGAAUAUUAAUAUGAUAUAACAACUGUAAAUACUCCCAUUUUAAUUAAAAUACUUUGAGAAAAUCUUGAUAUGUGGAUAGUCAGGAGAAAGCAAAGUAUU
This is a non-coding RNA of Coturnix japonica (Japanese quail), 578 nucleotides long. NCBI's taxonomy places the organism in Eukaryota, Metazoa, Chordata, Aves, Galliformes, Phasianidae. The record is from RefSeq and is a predicted model, not a curated record.